UGGAGAUCCGGAUUAAGGAGCUGGAGUUGCUCACCAUCACUGGGGACGGCUUCGACUCCCAGAGCUACACAUUCCUGAAGGCGCUAAAAGACGAAAAGUUACAAGGACUGAAGACCAAGCAACCCGGAAAGAAGUCGGCCUCUCUCUCCUGAGGAGCUGCCCACCAGAGCUUGGGCAGCCACCUCCUUAGGUGUUAGUGCUUAGAUAAUGUGUCCCAUUUGUUGUCAUUUCAAAGAUGGUUAUUUUCUGUUCUGUAUUUACCGCUGUUGUUGUUGCUACCAGCAUGUACUUCACAUACAGUGCCCGCUUUGUGUGGUAAAUCUCAUGGUCUCUCUCCUCUCUAUGUGCUGCUGAGGGAGCUCUCUCAUGGUGUCUAGAAGCUGCUGUCCAGCCAGCAUUCAAGGUCUCCCGAGACCAGGGAGGGAACCCCC
RNAcentral lists this long non-coding RNA (431 nucleotides) under Pan troglodytes (chimpanzee). RNAcentral describes it as "long non-coding RNA NONPTRT003020". Lineage: Eukaryota; Metazoa; Chordata; Mammalia; Primates; Hominidae. The record is from RNAcentral.